UAAGCAUAUCAAUAAGCGGAGGAAAAGAAACCAACAGGGAUUGCCCCAGUAACGGCGAGUGAAGCGGCAAGAGCUCAAAUUUGAAAUCUGGCCUCCUCCGGGGGUCCGAGUUGUAAUUUGCAGAGGAUGCUUCGGGUGCGGCCCCCGUCUAAGUUCCUUGGAACAGGACGUCAGAGAGGGUGAGAAUCCCGUCUUGGGCGGGCGGCCCGCGCCCGUGUGAAGCUCCUUCGACGAGUCGAGUUGUUUGGGAAUGCAGCUCUAAGCGGGUGGUAAAUUUCAUCUAAAGCUAAAUAUUGGCCGGAGACCGAUAGCGCACAAGUAGAGUGAUCGAAAGGUUAAAAGCACCUUGAAAAGGGAGUUAAACAGCACGUGAAAUUGUUGAAAGGGAAGCGCUUGCGGCCAGACUCGGGGGCGGGGUUCAGCGGGCGCUCGUCGCCCGUGCACUCCCCGCGCCCCGGGCCAGCAUCAGUUUCGACGGUCGGUCAAAGGCCCCCGGAAUGUGUCGUCUCUAGGGACGUCUUAUAGCCGGGGGUGCAAUGCGGCCCGUCGGGACUGAGGAACGCGCUUCGGCUCGGAUGCUGGCGUAAUGGCCGUAAGCGGCCCGUCUUGAAACACGGACCAAGGAGUCUAACAUCCACGCGAGUGUUCGGGUGUCAAACCCGUGCGCGCAGUGAAAGCGAACGGAGGUGGGAGCCUUUGGGCGCACCAUCGACCGAUCCUGAAGUCUUCGGAUGGAUUUGAGUAGGAGCGUGGCCGUUGGGACCCGAAAGAUGGUGAACUAUGCCUGAAUAGGGUGAAGCCAGAGGAAACUCUGGUGGAGGCUCGCAGCGGUUCUGACGUGCAAAUCGAUCGUCAAAUUUGGGCAUAGGGGCGAAAGACUAAUCGAACCAUCUAGUAGCUGGUUCCUGCCGA
This 912-nucleotide ribosomal RNA is filed under the name Trichophyton mentagrophytes. RNAcentral describes it as "LSU rRNA". It matches the Rfam family "Eukaryotic large subunit ribosomal RNA", at positions 35 to 964 of the family's 3401-position model. Lineage: Eukaryota; Fungi; Ascomycota; Eurotiomycetes; Onygenales; Arthrodermataceae. The record is from RNAcentral.